This 2206-nucleotide long non-coding RNA is filed under the name Equus caballus (horse). Its description in RNAcentral is "lncRNA (ENSECAG00000047663.1)". Lineage: Eukaryota; Metazoa; Chordata; Mammalia; Perissodactyla; Equidae. The record is from RNAcentral.
UUGUUAUCAUUUGCAAACAAAACCUGUCAGAAGACAAACCUGCUGUUUACAAUGGAUGUUUUUGUUGUUCCCCGGUAGGGUUCUUUAGGGAAUUUCCUUCAUUUGCUUUUUUAACUAAUUCUCUGUCUUUGAGAGGAAGGCGGGGCUUGGGAGCGGGAAGAAGCACAGACUUCCCGUUACGGCCUCCGAAUUGCAGCCUGGAGGACGCGGACCGACUCGCCCUGAGAGGCUUUGCUGGAACACUCCCGGCUCCGCUGUGCUCCUCUGUGGCUGCCGUGCUCCCACCAGCUCCCGCCUGUAAAGAAAGGUGGCAGGCAGCACCCAGGCUGUCCUCCCCCGUCUCUGCCCCAGUAAGUCACGAAUUAGAGGGACUAGGGAGACAGCCCAUCAUCUUCCCAAGAACUUCCAUUGUGCUUCUUCAUCAUUUGACACUCUCAGUUCGCAGCUUACAUGUUUCUUGAAAUCCAUGUUGUUAAGCAUUUUCAGGGUGGUCAGUUCUUUUGUCUUUGUUUCGGUCUUUAGUUUUGCUGCUAGGACGUGAGGACAACUUGGAUGGCUUUGUAGGAGUACAUAUGAUUUGCUAACAGGGGCCGUCUAUAGAAGACUUGAUUGGCGUAUCUUUUUAUACCCAAACUGACUCCAACUGGUUUUGUUACCAAACUAAAGUGGGUUCCCUUCUUGGUGAGUUGAAAUCAAAGCCUUCGCCAGAGGUAGUUGUCACACAAAGUAAAAUUUAUUUGCUGCAAAUAAAGAGACCACAGGAAUCACUCCCAAAGCUGUGGCCCCCGGGCAAGGGAAAAUAGGUACCUUUUAUUUCGGAGGGGAAGGAAUAUUCAAAAGGGAGGUUUCAGCAUCACAUGUGGAGGUGGGUAUUUGCUCAUGCAGGGACAGUUUGAAAACAUGCCUCCAACUACAUCACAUCUUACGAUAAUAAAGCCUAAGCUCCUCCUGGGGCGGAGAUUGUAACAUUAAAAUGAAGCAAAGGUAACCCUUGGACACUUCUCAUCCUAUCUGCACAGGCGGCACUCCUGCGGUGGGCUUUGGACCGAUUCAGGGCAGUUGCUGAUUGCAUCUCUUAACUAAAAAACACCUUUGAGAAAGGGUUAAGUGCUUCUUUGAGUCACUUGGGGCAGUUCGUCAGUGACAGUUUCUCAAGAACCCUGUGGUUCCACAGUCCUGGGUAAGGAGGCGGCCCAGUGCAGGGGACACUCAUGAACACCCUCCUCUGCACCCCCUGAGCAGCAAGAACACCGCUUUUAACUUUCUCAUACUGAGCUUUUAUGAGAAGAAAAAAAACAACUUCUGUUUAAAAAAAAAUAGUUUGGAAAACCACUGUUCUAAAAUGAAGUCAAGGAGACAGUCAGACUUGGUCCCUGGCAACAGUCAUUCGGCCUCAGAUCUGCUCUCCCUGUUUGCCAAAAAUAGAAUGAUCUAAAUUGCUAACAAUCAAUGCCACCAAUUUUUUCUCCUUCCCUGGAAAGUUCGCCAACACUUUUAGAAAGUCUACAUAUAUUUAUGAGCCAGAAACCAAGAGUGGCAAGAAGGGGCAAUGAUUUGUCAAUAAUUACGAUAAUGAUUUGCCAGCCUGCCCUCCUCUCCCUCAUUAACUCCACCAACCACCAUUUAGGGCCAAUUAGCUCCGAGCUGGGUCAGCACACCUCUGACCUCUAGGAGCAGGCCAGCUGUGGGGGAUCCAUAAUUCCUAACUCCCAAGGGAGGAAACUCACCCAGGUUCUUCUGGUAGGAUUCAGUAAAGUCAACUCAAGCAAAGAGAGAUCCAAUGGACACCAUCAUGUUUUCACCCUGGAGCAGAGGCAGGGAUUCAUCAGGAGAGCGCUCCAUUGCUUUUAACCUCAGUUGGCAUUUCAAAUGUUGGAAUCCUCUGGAAAUGCUGAUUCACAUGGAAAAACAAACGGGGCUCAUUCUUUUGUGACGAUUCUUAUUUGUGAGGAUCCUAGGACCUCCUGUGCUGUUAACGUGUGUUCAGAGGCUGAGCAAAGCUCUCCAUUUUCAUCCCAGUGUAAUAGCUGGAUCUUAAGUUAGCAUCAGGGAAGCAGCCUUAUGGAAAAGAAGGAAUUUUGUGAGUAUAUAUGACCCUGACUCACUCGUCUCUGUGAAUACAUUCUAGCCCGUAGCCUAGAUGCUUAAGCACCUCUCACUUUUACAAAAUACGUGAUCUGCUAGUUCUAUGACUCUUGCUUAUGUA